RNAcentral lists this small nucleolar RNA (92 nucleotides) under Gossypium arboreum. RNAcentral's name for it is "Plant small nucleolar RNA R71". It matches the Rfam family "Plant small nucleolar RNA R71". From Rfam's summary of the family: R71 is a member of the C/D box family of snoRNAs containing the C (UGAUGA) and D (CUGA) box motifs. Multiple nearly identical copies of this snoRNA have been identified in Arabidopsis, and it is thought to function as a 2'-O-ribose methylation guide for 18S ribosomal RNA. The record is from Rfam by way of RNAcentral. Lineage: Eukaryota; Viridiplantae; Streptophyta; Magnoliopsida; Malvales; Malvaceae.
AACCCAUGGUGAGGACACCUUGUAUCUCUCCCAUGCAUCGUAGAGUGUUUCUAAAUCCAUCUGCACAAAAGAAGAGAUAUCAUUAUGUAACU